RNAcentral lists this ribosomal RNA (37 nucleotides) under Schizothyrium musae. RNAcentral describes it as "partial 18S ribosomal RNA". The record is from RNAcentral. Lineage: Eukaryota; Fungi; Ascomycota; Dothideomycetes; Mycosphaerellales; Schizothyriaceae.
GAGAAGCUCUCGAUAGGUGACCUGCGGAGGGAUCAUU